UGCUCCUUCUGGUUUAGCGGCGGACGGGUGAGUAACACGUGGGCAACCUGCCCUGCAGAUCGGGAUAACUCCGGGAAACCGGUGCUAAUACCGAAUAGUUUGCGGCCUCUCCUGAGGCUGCACGGAAAGACGGUUUCGGCUGUCACUGCAGGAUGGGCCCGCGGCGCAUUAGCUAGUUGGUGGGGUAAUGGCCUACCAAGGCGACGAUGCGUAGCCGACCUGAGAGGGUGAUCGGCCACACUGGGACUGAGACACGGCCCAGACUCCUACGGGAGGCAGCAGUAGGGAAUCUUCCGCAAUGGACGAAAGUCUGACGGAGCAACGCCGCGUGAGUGACGAAGGUUUUCGGAUCGUAAAACUCUGUUGUGAGGGAAGAACAAGUACCAACUAACUACUGGUACCUUGACGGUACCUCACCAGAAAGCCACGGCUAACUACGUGCCAGCAGCCGCGGUAAUACGUAGGUGGCAAGCGUUGUCCGGAAUUAUUGGGCGUAAAGCGCGCGCAGGCGGUUCUUUAAGUCUGAUGUGAAAGCCCACGGCUCAACCGUGGAGGGUCAUUGGAAACUGGAGAA
RNAcentral lists this ribosomal RNA (574 nucleotides) under Planococcus sp. (in: firmicutes). RNAcentral describes it as "bacterial SSU rRNA". It matches the Rfam family "Bacterial small subunit ribosomal RNA", at positions 79 to 640 of the family's 1533-position model. Lineage: Bacteria; Bacillati; Bacillota; Bacilli; Caryophanales; Caryophanaceae. The record is from RNAcentral.